CCGACGGGUGAGUAACACGUAUGCAAUCCACCCUGUAACAGGGGGAGUAACCCCGGAAAAUACCGGACUAAUACCCCAUAAUAUGGGCGCUCCGCAUGGAGAGUUCAUUAAAGAGAGCAAUUUUGGUUACAGACGAGCAUGCGCUCCAUUAGCCAGUUGGCGGGGUAACGGCCCACCAAGGCGACGAUGGAUAGGGGUUCUGAGAGGAAGGUCCCCCACAUUGGAACUGAGACACGGUCCAA
RNAcentral lists this ribosomal RNA (242 nucleotides) under uncultured bacterium. RNAcentral's name for it is "partial 16S ribosomal RNA". It matches the Rfam family "Bacterial small subunit ribosomal RNA", at positions 102 to 334 of the family's 1533-position model. The record is from RNAcentral.